This 268-nucleotide ribosomal RNA is filed under the name uncultured bacterium. Its description in RNAcentral is "partial 16S ribosomal RNA". It matches the Rfam family "Bacterial small subunit ribosomal RNA", at positions 88 to 354 of the family's 1533-position model. The record is from RNAcentral.
AUGGCGACCGGCGUACGGGUGAGUAACGCGUAUCCAACCUGCCCUUUACUAUGGGACAGCCCGUCGAAAGGCGGAUUAAUACCGUAUGUUGUCAUGUUGAUGCAUAUUUUCAUGACCAAAGGCUUCGGCCGGUAAAGGAUGGGGAUGCGUCUGAUUAGCUUGCCGGCGGGGUAACGGCCCACCGGGGCGACGAUCAGUAGGGGUUCUGAGAGGAAGGUCCCCUACAUUGGAACUGAGACACGGUCCAAACUCCUACGGGAGGCAGCAG